RNAcentral lists this long non-coding RNA (389 nucleotides) under Salvia miltiorrhiza (redroot sage). RNAcentral's name for it is "long non-coding RNA (SMIL_LNC011181)". Lineage: Eukaryota; Viridiplantae; Streptophyta; Magnoliopsida; Lamiales; Lamiaceae. The record is from RNAcentral.
GUCAAUCUUGAUCCAAGCCUUGAAAACUAGAAAGCAAUAAAAUUCUAAACCUAGAAAACUGAAAUAUUAAGUCUGGGAACCCUGAAUAGGUAAAAAGAAGACCUAUAUAUAGUACCAGGGUAAACUACAGAGUUUGAACUCGAAAAGAACUUGAAAAACGCACAAAACGCAAAAACACGGACGAACGGCGACCCCGUGGCGGGCAGGCGGCGGUCGCCGCCUUCUUCCCACUUUUUUCUCUGGUUGCGACGGGCUCACGGCGGGCGCCGCCCGAUCGCCGGCCACGCCGAUUUCUCGGCGGUCACCGGCUGGCUCGCCGAGCGCUGCCUAAAAAUCCAUCUUCUGCCGGCGGUCGCCGGCUGCUCCGUUUCUUCCUUUUUUCGAGCUCU